CCUACGGGAGGCAGCAGUGAGGAAUAUUGGUCAAUGGCCGUAAGGCUGAACCAGCCAAGUCGCGUGAAGGAAGAAGGAUCUAUGGUUUGUAAACUUCUUUUAUAGGGGAAUAAAGGUAUCCACGUGUGGAUAUUUGCAUGUACCCUAUGAAUAAGCAUCGGCUAACUCCGUUCCAGCAGCCGCGGUAAUACGGAGGAUGCGAGCGUUAUCCGGAUUUAUUGGGUUUAAAGGGUGCGUAGGUUGUUUUUUAAGUCAGCGGUGAAAGUUUGUGGCUCAACCAUAAAAUUGCCGUUGAAACUGGAAGUCUUGAGUGUGUUUGAGGUAGGCGGAAUGCGUGGUGUAGCGGUGAAAUGCAUAGAUAUCACGCAGAACUCCGAUUGCGAAGGCAGCUUACUAAGCCAUAACUGACACUGAAGCACGAAAGCGUGGGGAUCAAACAGGAUUAGAUACCCGAGUAGUC
This 460-nucleotide ribosomal RNA is filed under the name uncultured bacterium. RNAcentral's name for it is "partial 16S ribosomal RNA". It matches the Rfam family "Bacterial small subunit ribosomal RNA", at positions 338 to 795 of the family's 1533-position model. The record is from RNAcentral.